Molecule: long non-coding RNA, 1163 nt
Organism: Ixodes scapularis (black-legged tick)
Lineage: Eukaryota; Metazoa; Arthropoda; Arachnida; Ixodida; Ixodidae
Exons: 2
Source: RefSeq, a predicted model, not a curated record
CUGUCUGAUGCUUGCGGCUGAUGGCUUCUACCUACGUGCAUCAAACAGCGGGCCUGCACCUUCACCGAGACACCAGUAAGACAGUUCUGGGUAACUGCAGCGACUGGGUCACCGAUGCCGUUCCACUUCCUGCACUGCACUCCGCGUGGGUCAAAGGGCCAGCGCAUGCCUUUUAUGGGUUGUCGCCAGCCAUAGUCGGACAUGAGGCAAUAAAAGCUUGGCCCACCAACCACAUGGCUCCUACCGCCCUGUCAGCGUAGAGGUGAAUGGAGCGUAGGGGCGGCAGAGUUGGUGGGGUCUGCUGAGUGCUUCUGGCGUAGCAGUUUGGCAGUGGUGAGUUACUAGAGCACAAAAUGCAAUACCGCACUUUACUCUGAAUGCUGCGAGCCAUCGGAGCCAAUCCAGUGCCGAAGGUGUGUCACGUGGCCUGUCCGUUGGGCGCAACGGCACGUCGAGCACAGCGUCAUCUGGCUGCGACAAAGAGCUGGAUUGGCUCCGGUGGCUCGUAUAGUCGGCUGCGGUACAACACAAGGUGAAACGGAGUAGAAUGUGAUGGCGUGUCGCAUCACAGAAGGUGAGCAAACUAAACAGAUAAAAGUUUGAUUUUUAGAGUGCCUUUAGAGCGCAUCACAGGCGCCCCAGGAUGGGCGAGGAGAAACCUCCUCGCCCAUCGAUAUAUUGACGGGGGACCGGGGUAGAAGGGCCUCUGGGGACUGGGCGGUGCCGAGAACAGGCAAGUGUGUGUGACCGGAUUUCGGGUAAUCGUGGGAGACGAGGCCUGGGGGCCCUCUUUGUGUUUAGCUUUGGCUUUACGUGCGAAUAUCGGUGUAAUGUCGCAUGUCUUUGCAGUUUAGACUGAGUGUUUUUGAGCGUUGUGUUUUCGGAACAAAUAAAAGGGAGCGGAAUUCCCGCUCCCGUGAAAGAACCAGGCUGGACUCUGGUUGUUUGACGGACCACAUGGGAUCUGGCGUAUCUGCGGCAGUAUGCGAUUUCCUACGAUGUGUCCUUUAAGUUUCAUAUAUUUUGGUCUUGAAUUUUAACCACUAUUGUGUAACUUGUUCACACCAUUGUUUAACAUGUUUGUUUCCUAUGGUUGCAUUUGCAAUUGCACUGUGUAAUGCCCCUGGCUCCGAGGGUAAAAUAAAGGAACAGAAACAAACCGA